RNAcentral lists this non-coding RNA (29 nucleotides) under Mus musculus (house mouse). Lineage: Eukaryota; Metazoa; Chordata; Mammalia; Rodentia; Muridae. The record is from RNAcentral.
UAAAUGUUUGUAGGAUGCAGCUGGGAUGG